Molecule: long non-coding RNA, 376 nt
Filed under: Mus spicilegus (steppe mouse)
Lineage: Eukaryota; Metazoa; Chordata; Mammalia; Rodentia; Muridae
Description: lncRNA (ENSMSIG00000005363.1)
Source: RNAcentral
GGGAGAUGAAAGUAUUUCAGUUUAGGACUCCAGGGAAGAAAUGGGGAUGCUAUGGCAUCUCUGCAUAUAAUGUUAAAGAUGCAGAGGGGAUAUUUGCUCUUCUUGUCUGUGGAGGAUGCCGGGAUUCAGAAGUGAUGCUGAGUCCUUUGGAAAGAGUCCUGUCAGGGGGAAAAAAAAGAAAGAAAGAAAAGUGCUAUGAACUUAAUUAUCAUGGAAAUUCCAUGAAAGAUGAUUUGCAGAAACUUACAACUGGACCCAAUACAGGGAUCAAAAAAAUCAUGCUUUAUACACUGCCUGGAAAGAAGAGCAGGUAUCUGCCUGUUAGCUCUGUCAAACAUCAGAAACCAUAACCAAAUGGACUCUGUAUAUAAACAAG